RNAcentral lists this ribosomal RNA (141 nucleotides) under uncultured bacterium. RNAcentral's name for it is "partial 16S rRNA". It matches the Rfam family "Bacterial small subunit ribosomal RNA", at positions 355 to 511 of the family's 1533-position model. The record is from RNAcentral.
UGGGGAAUUUUCCGCAAUGGGCGAAAGCCUGACGGAGCAAUGCCGCGUGGAGGUGGAAGGCCUACGGGUCGUCAACUUCUUUUCUCGGAGAAGAAACAAUGACGGUAUCUGAGGAAUAAGCAUCGACUAACGCUGUGCCAG